GGUUAAGCGACUAAGCGUACACGGUGGAUGCCCUGGCAGUCAGAGGCGAUGAAGGGCGUGCUAAUCUGCGAUAAGCGCCGGUAAGGUGAUAUGAACCGUUAUAACCGGCGAUACCCGAAUGGGGAAACCCAGUGUGAUUCGUCACACUAUCAUUAACUGAAUCCAUAGGUUAAUGAGGCGAACCGGGGGAACUGAAACAUCUAAGUACCCCGAGGAAAAGAAAUCAACCGAGAUUCCCCCAGUAGCGGCGAGCGAACGGGGAGGAGCCCAGAGCCUGAAUCAGCAUGUGUGUUAGUGGAAGCGUCUGGAAAGGCGCGCGAUACAGGGUGACAGCCCCGUACACAAAAGCGCAUGUGCUGUGAGCUCGAUGAGUAGGGCGGGACACGUGGUAUCCUGUCUGAAUAUGGGGGGACCAUCCUCCAAGGCUAAAUACUCCUGACUGACCGAUAGUGAACCAGUACCGUGAGGGAAAGGCGAAAAGAACCCCGGCGAGGGGAGUGAAAAAGAACCUGAAACCGUGUACGUACAAGCAGUGGGAGCCCCACCACCAAAGCAUUCUCUGGUGUUGAAGGCCCUGCAAAGCAGCAUCGCGGUGGCGGAGCGUCGUUUGCGACGCCCAACACACAAAACAAGCGGUGAGUGCUUUGGGGUGGGGUGACUGCGUACCUUUUGUAUAAUGGGUCAGCGACUUAUAUUCUGUAGCAAGGUUAACCGUAUAGGGGAGCCGGAGGGAAACCGAGUCUUAAUUGGGCGUUAAGUUGCAGGGUAUAGACCCGAAACCCGGUGAUCUAGCCAUGGGCAGGUUGAAGGUUGGGUAACACUAACUGGAGGACCGAACCGACUAAUGUUGAAAAAUUAGCGGAUGACCUGUGGCUGGGGGUGAAAGGCCAAUCAAACCGGGAGAUAGCUGGUUCUCCCCGAAAGCUAUUUAGGUAGCGCCUCGUGAAUUCAUCUCCGGGGGUAGAGCACUGUUUCGGCUAGGGGGUCAUCCCGACUUACCAACCCGAUGCAAACUGCGAAUACCGGAGAAUGUUAUCACGGGAGACACACGGCGGGUGCUAACGUCCGUCGUGAAGAGGGAAACAACCCAGACCGCCAGCUAAGGUCCCAAAGUCAUGGUUAAGUGGGAAACGAUGUGGGAAGGCCCAGACAGCCAGGAUGUUGGCUUAGAAGCAGCCAUCAUUUAAAGAAAGCGUAAUAGCUCACUGGUCGAGUCGGCCUGCGCGGAAGAUGUAACGGGGCUAAACCAUGCACCGAAGCUGCGGCAGCGACACUCAGGUGUUGUUGGGUAGGGGAGCGUUCUGUAAGCCUGCGAAGGUGGCCUGUGAGGGUUGCUGGAGGUAUCAGAAGUGCGAAUGCUGACAUAAGUAACGAUAAAGCGGGUGAAAAGCCCGCUCGCCGGAAGACCAAGGGUUCCUGUCCAACGUUAAUCGGGGCAGGGUGAGUCGACCCCUAAGGCGAGGCCGAAAGGCGUAGUCGAUGGGAAACGGGUUAAUAUUCCCGUACUUGGUGUUACUGCGAAGGGGGGACGGAGAAGGCUAUGUUGGCCGGGCGACGGUUGUCCCGGUUUAAGCGUGUAGGUGUGUGUUCCAGGUAAAUCCGGUUCACUUUAACACUGAGGCGUGAUGACGAGGCACUACGGUGCUGAAGCAACAAAUGCCCUGCUUCCAGGAAAAGCCUCUAAGCAUCAGGUAACAUCAAAUCGUACCCCAAACCGACACAGGUGGUCAGGUAGAGAAUACCAAGGCGCUUGAGAGAACUCGGGUGAAGGAACUAGGCAAAAUGGUGCCGUAACUUCGGGAGAAGGCACGCUGACACGUAGGUGAAGUGAUUUACUCAUGGAGCUGAAGUCAGUCGAAGAUACCAGCUGGCUGCAACUGUUUAUUAAAAACACAGCACUGUGCAAACACGAAAGUGGACGUAUACGGUGUGACGCCUGCCCGGUGCCGGAAGGUUAAUUGAUGGGGUCAGCGCAAGCGAAGCUCCUGAUCGAAGCCCCGGUAAACGGCGGCCGUAACUAUAACGGUCCUAAGGUAGCGAAAUUCCUUGUCGGGUAAGUUCCGACCUGCACGAAUGGCGUAAUGAUGGCCAGGCUGUCUCCACCCGAGACUCAGUGAAAUUGAACUCGCUGUGAAGAUGCAGUGUACCCGCGGCAAGACGGAAAGACCCCGUGAACCUUUACUAUAGCUUGACACUGAACAUUGAGCCUUGAUGUGUAGGAUAGGUGGGAGGCUUUGAAGUGUGGACGCCAGUCUGCAUGGAGCCGACCUUGAAAUACCACCCUUUAAUGUUUGAUGUUCUAACGUGGACCCGUGAUCCGGGUUGCGGACAGUGUCUGGUGGGUAGUUUGACUGGGGCGGUCUCCUCCUAAAGAGUAACGGAGGAGCACGAAGGUUGGCUAAUCCUGGUCGGACAUCAGGAGGUUAGUGCAAUGGCAUAAGCCAGCUUGACUGCGAGCGUGACGGCGCGAGCAGGUGCGAAAGCAGGUCAUAGUGAUCCGGUGGUUCUGAAUGGAAGGGCCAUCGCUCAACGGAUAAAAGGUACUCCGGGGAUAACAGGCUGAUACCGCCCAAGAGUUCAUAUCGACGGCGGUGUUUGGCACCUCGAUGUCGGCUCAUCACAUCCUGGGGCUGAAGUAGGUCCCAAGGGUAUGGCUGUUCGCCAUUUAAAGUGGUACGCGAGCUGGGUUUAGAACGUCGUGAGACAGUUCGGUCCCUAUCUGCCGUGGGCGCUGGAGAACUGAGGGGGGCUGCUCCUAGUACGAGAGGACCGGAGUGGACGCAUCACUGGUGUUCGGGUUGUCAUGCCAAUGGCACUGCCCGGUAGCUAAAUGCGGAAGAGAUAAGUGCUGAAAGCAUCUAAGCACGAAACUUGCCCCGAGAUGAGUUCUCCCUGAGACUUAGAGUCUCCUGAAGGAACGUUGAAGACGACGACGUUGAUAGGCCGGGUGUGUAAGCGCAGCGAUGCGUUGAGCUAACCGGUACUAAUGAACCGUGAGGCUUAACCUU
RNAcentral lists this ribosomal RNA (3008 nucleotides) under Salmonella enterica. Its description in RNAcentral is "23S ribosomal RNA". It matches the Rfam family "Bacterial large subunit ribosomal RNA". Lineage: Bacteria; Pseudomonadati; Pseudomonadota; Gammaproteobacteria; Enterobacterales; Enterobacteriaceae. The record is from RNAcentral.